This 493-nucleotide ribosomal RNA is filed under the name uncultured bacterium. Its description in RNAcentral is "partial 16S ribosomal RNA". It matches the Rfam family "Bacterial small subunit ribosomal RNA", at positions 28 to 507 of the family's 1533-position model. The record is from RNAcentral.
GACGAACGCUGGCGGCGUGCUUAACACAUGCAAGUCGAACGGUGAAGGGACCGGUUUUUGCUGGUUCUGGAUGAGUGGCGAACGGGUGAGUAACACGUGAGUAACCUGCCCCCUUCUUCUGGAUAACCGCAUGAAAGUGUGGCUAAUACGGGAUAUUCUGCGCCUGCUGCAUGGUGGGUGUGGGAAAGUUAUUGUUUCGGUGGGGGCUGGGCUCGCGGCCUAUCAGCUUGUUGGUGGGGUGAUGGCCUACCAAGGCGGUGACGGGUAGCCGGCCUGGGAGGGUGGACGGUCAUACUGGGACUGAGACACGGCCCAGACUCCGACGGGAGGCAGCAGUGGGGAAUAUUGCACAAUGGGCGCAAGCCUGAUGCAGCGACGCCGCGUGAGGGAUGGAGGCCUUCGGGUUGUAAACCUCUUUCGCCAGUGAAGCAGGCCUGUCCCUUUUGUGGGUGGGUUGACGGUAGCUGGAGAAGAAGCGCCGGCUAACUACGUG